Molecule: ribosomal RNA, 476 nt
Filed under: uncultured bacterium
Lineage: Bacteria
Description: bacterial SSU rRNA
Rfam family: Bacterial small subunit ribosomal RNA
Source: RNAcentral
GGGGGCCCGCAAGCGGUGGAGCAUGUGGUUCAAUUCGACGCAACGCGAAGAACCUUACCUGGGCUCGAAAUGUAGCGGAAUGGGGUGGAAACAUCCCCGUCUCGCAAGAGACUGCUAUAUAGGUGCUGCAUGGCUGUCGUCAGCUCGUGUCGUGAGAUGUUGGGUUAAGUCCCGCAACGAGCGCAACCCUUAUCCCUAGUUGCCAUCGGGUCAAGCCGGGCACUCUAGUGAAACCGCCCAGGAUAACUGGGAGGAAGGUGGGGAUGACGUCAAGUCCUCAUGGCCUUUAUGUCCAGGGCUACACACGUGCUACAAUGGUCGGUACAAACCGUCGCAAACCCGCGAGGGGGAGCUAAUCGGAAAAAGCCGGCCUCAGUUCGGAUUGGAGUCUGCAACCCGACUCCAUGAAGCUGGAAUCGCUAGUAAUCGCGGAUCAGAACGCCGCGGUGAAUACGUUCCCGGGCCUUGUACACACC